UACGUAGGGUGCGAGCGUUAAUCGGAAUUACUGGGCGUAAAGCGUGCGCAGGCGGUCUUGCACGACAGAUGUGAAAGCCCCGGGCUUAACCUGGGAACUGCAUUUGUGACUGCAAGGCUGGAGUGCGGCAGAGGGGGAUGGAAUUCCGCGUGUAGCAGUGAAAUGCGUAGAUAUGCGGAGGAACACCGAUGGCGAAGGCAAUCCCCUGGGCCUGCACUGACGCUCAUGCACGAAAGCGUGGGGAGCAAACAGG
Molecule: ribosomal RNA, 253 nt
Filed under: uncultured bacterium
Lineage: Bacteria
Description: partial 16S ribosomal RNA
Rfam family: Bacterial small subunit ribosomal RNA
Source: RNAcentral